This 798-nucleotide ribosomal RNA is filed under the name Triticum aestivum (bread wheat). RNAcentral's name for it is "partial small subunit ribosomal RNA". Lineage: Eukaryota; Viridiplantae; Streptophyta; Magnoliopsida; Poales; Poaceae. The record is from RNAcentral.
AUGGAAUGCCGAUCUAUUAUCACACCAAGGGACCUGGAGUGCAUGCUAUGUGAUGAAACGGCAGAGCCCAAGCCGCUGCCACUGUCACUUCUGAAAGAAAUCACAAAUGAUUUCUCUCCUCAGAAGCAAAUUGGCUAUGGUGGGUUCGCGGAGGUUUAUGAGGGUAUUCUAGAGAAUAGGUCCGUGGCGGUGAAAAGGAUGUCAAAUACGUAUGAGUAUGAGAAGGAGUACGUUCGAGAAGUUGAAUGCCUCAUGAAGGUGAAGCACAAAAAUGUAGUGCGAUUUCUGGGAUAUUGUGCUGACACACAAGGCAGUAUGUUAAAGUACGAAGGAAAAUUGGUCAUGGCCGAUGUACGACAAAGGUUGCUUUGCUUCGAGUUUGUUCCCAAAGGAAGUCUUCGUGAGUAUAUCACGGAUACAUCUUGCGGACUUCAGUGGAGAGACCGCUUUCAAAUUAUAUUGGGAAUUUGUCAGGGGUUACAUUAUCUUCAUCAAAAUAAUAUUGUCCACUUAGAUCUAAAGCCAGAGAAUAUAUUGAUGGAUAAUAAUUUGGUACCAAAAAUUACCGAUUUCGGUCUAUCAAGGUGCUUUCGUCCAAUGCAAAGCCAGACUUUUACUGUAAACAUACGCGGAACAUUGAGAUAUUCUGCACCAGAAUGUGGUAACGGUGAAAUCACACACCAGCUUGAUAUCUAUAGUCUUGGUAUAAUAAUCAUGGAGGUACUCACAGGAGAGAACUGGUAUCAGUAUGAUGUUGACAUGGCUUCUUAUGAUGUGUAUUACCGAGAGGGCCCAUAG